RNAcentral lists this ribosomal RNA (379 nucleotides) under uncultured eukaryote. Its description in RNAcentral is "partial 18S ribosomal RNA". It matches the Rfam family "Eukaryotic small subunit ribosomal RNA", at positions 592 to 976 of the family's 1831-position model. The record is from RNAcentral.
CAAUAGCGUAUAUUUAAGUUGUUGCAGUUAAAAAGCUCGUAGUUGGAUUUCGGAUGGGACUUGCCGGUCCGUCGUUUCGAUGUGCACUGGCCAGUCCUAUCUUGUUGUCGGGGACUAGCUCCUGGGCUUCACUGUCCGGGACUAGGAGCUGACGAGGUUACUUUGAGUAAAUUAGAGUGUUCAAAGCAAGCCUACGCUCUGAAUACAUUAGCAUGGAAUAACACGAUAGGACUCUGGCUUAUCUUGUUGGUCUGUGAGACCAGAGUAAUGAUUAAGAGGGACAGUCGGGGGCAUUCGUAUUUCAUUGUCAGAGGUGAAAUUCUCGGAUUUAUGAAAGACGAACUUCUGCGAAAGCAUUUGUCAAGGAUGUUUUCAUUAA